RNAcentral lists this ribosomal RNA (253 nucleotides) under uncultured bacterium. RNAcentral describes it as "partial 16S ribosomal RNA". It matches the Rfam family "Bacterial small subunit ribosomal RNA", at positions 524 to 776 of the family's 1533-position model. The record is from RNAcentral.
UACGUAGGGUCCGAGCGUUAAUCGGAAUUACUGGGCGUAAAGCGUGCGCAGGCGGUUUUGUAAGCCAGAUGUGAAAUCCCCGGGCUCAACCUGGGAACUGCAUUUGGGACUGCAAGGCUAGAGUACGGCAGAGGGGGGUAGAAUUCCUGGUGUAGCAGUGAAAUGCGUAGAUAUCAGGAGGAAUACCGAUGGCGAAGGCAGCCCCCUGGGUCGAUACUGACGCUCAUGCACGAAAGCGUGGGGAGCAAACAGG